UUGAAUAAACUUGGUKGGGUUGUUGCUGGCUCCUCGGAGCAUGUGCACGCUCACUCCAUUUUUAACCACCUGUGCACCUUGUGUAGAUCUGAACAACUCUCGGGGAAACUCGGUUAGAGGAUUGCUGUGCGUAAAAGCCAGCUUUCCUUGAGUUCAGAUCUAUGUCUUUAUAUACACCAUAAGAAUGUAUUGGAAUGUAAUUGACAGGCGUUAGAGCCUUUAAAAUCAAAUACAACUUUCAACAACGGAUCUCUUGGCUCUCGCAUCGAUGAAGAACGCAGCGAAAUGCGAUAAGUAAUGUGAAUUGCAGAAUUCAGUGAAUCAUCGAAUCUUUGAACGCACCUUGCGCUCCUUGGUAUUCCGAGGAGCAUGCCUGUUUGAGUGUCGUGAAAUUCUCAACCUCUCUGGCUUUUAUAAGCUMGUUAGGCUUGGAUUGUGGAGGUUGCUGGUUUCUCAGAAAUCAKCUCUUCUUAAAUAUAUUAGCAAAGUCUUUGCUGACCAUCUUUGGUGUGAUAAUUAUCUACAUCAUCGAGRAUCAGCUUCCGUCUUGGAAGGAUUUCGCUUCUAAUGGUCUAUUCAGACAACUUGACAAU
RNAcentral lists this unclassified non-coding RNA (593 nucleotides) under Entoloma anthracinellum. RNAcentral describes it as "sequence contains ITS1, 5.8S rRNA gene and ITS2". The stretch from base 234 to 387 matches the Rfam family "5.8S ribosomal RNA". The record is from RNAcentral. Lineage: Eukaryota; Fungi; Basidiomycota; Agaricomycetes; Agaricales; Entolomataceae.